Xiphophorus hellerii (green swordtail) is the source of this 2424-nucleotide RNA transcript. It is a transcript of the gene named UTP6 small subunit processome component, with no coding region annotated. Lineage: Eukaryota; Metazoa; Chordata; Actinopteri; Cyprinodontiformes; Poeciliidae. The record is from RefSeq and is a predicted model, not a curated record. The transcript is spliced from 20 exons.
GUAACCGGAAAAGCCUCUGAUCACAACUUCCACCCAUGUGUAUGUGGAGAUUCCAGUGUGAUCGACUUCAGACUAGUUAGGAUAAAGUUUCUCAUCUUGGUUUAGUUUGAUAUCAGCGGUGUGAGGCUGCCGUCCCGGUCCCGGUGAAAACAUGGCGGAGGUCGUUCAGCAGCGGAUCGAGGACAGGAUUCCUGAGCUGGAGCAGCUGGAGAGAGUGGGACUAUUCACCAAGAAAGAAGUCAAAUCUAUAAUCAAAAAGGCUACAGCUCUUGAAUACAAGCUCCACAGGCUGAUCGUGAACAAGGAGGACUUCAUUGCAUACAUUCAGUAUGAAAUCAAUGUCUUAGAGUUGAUCAAGAAAAGAAGAGCGCACAUACAUUAUCAUUUCAAACGAGAGGAGAUUGAAUUCCCCAUCAUCCACAGAAUAAGUAGCAUCUUCAGAAGAGCAACAAAGAAGUGGAAGGAUGAUGUGCAGCUGUGGCUUUCACAUGUUGCUUUCUGCAAGAAAUGGGAAACCAAAGGUCAGAUCAGCAAGGUGUUCUCGUCUAUGUUAGCUAUCCACCCUGACAAACCAGCAUUGUGGAUCAUGGCUGCCAAGAGUGAGCUUGAGGACCGAAAUUCCUCUGAGAGUGCCCGACACUUGUUCCUGCGAGCGCUGCGUUUCCACCCAGACAACAAGAAGCUCUACCAGGAGUAUUUCCGUAUGGAGCUACUGCACUGUGAGAAGCUGAGGAAGCAGAAGGAAGAGCUGGAGAAAGCCGAAAUGGAGUUGGGUGAAUAUGAGUUUUCUCCAGAGAUCCUUAGUGGAAAACUGGCAGAUGUUGUGUACAAAGAUGCUACGGCAAAAAUCAAAGAAGCAGAAUUUGUAAUCUCACUCCUGAACAUAGCAGCCAUCUUUGAUUUUACCAAAGAACUCCAAGACGCCAUCCUGCAAGACUUGCAGGCCAACUACACAGAGGACAGCUUGAUGUGGGAUUUCAUGGCUAAGAGGGAGUUGGAGGCCCCAGGGGUGGAUGAGGAGCUCUACACCGCCAAAGGCCGGGCCUCGGACAUUAACCGCAGAGAGGAGCGCUGCUGCCAGGUCUAUGAAGAAGGCCUCAAGAGCCUCAACACUGAGCCGAUGUGGACUCGCUAUGUUGUUUUCUGCUUGGAAAGACUAAAGAGGAAGACCAACGUCCAGGAGCUCAAGGACAAAAGGCAAGAGAGGCUGUUGGAAGUUUUACAACGUGCCCAUGACUCCUCACUGCUGAAGGAGAAUUUUUACAAAAACUGGCUGGAGAUCCUGCUGUCGUCUGGGGAUGCCGAAGCUGCAGCCACCCUCGCCUUGUCGGCCACGCAGCGCUACAACCAAUCUGUGUCCGUCUGGAGUCUCUGUCUGCAAACGUUAAUGCAGCUGGGGUGUGGAGACAUGGCCAAGCUGUUCCACGACGCUCUCACACAUGUUAAUCCCAAGGAGAGUCUAUCACUGUGGCAGCUGCAGCUUCAGUGGAGCAUGGCCAACCAGAGUGCUGAGGAGACGGAAGCAAUCUUUAAGAGAGGUUUGCUGUCCACUGUCACGGCUAUCGCCAUGGAGAUGAAAGAGCUCUAUCUCGAAUGGUCUUACUCAGUUGGAGGAUAUAAGAAAGCCAGAAAGACCUUUACAAGUUUACAAGAAAAUCGUCCGUUGUCUAAGAGGUUUUUCACCUGCAUGAUUCAAAUUGAGAAGGAACAAGAAACUCCGAAGAUUAACAAUCUGAGAGAUUAUUAUGAGAGAGCAUUGCAGGAGUUUGGCUCUGCAGAUGAUGACCUGUGGCUGCAGUACAUCCAGGAGGAGAUGGGAGUGCUUGGCCGGCCAGAAAACUGCGCAAAGAUCCACUGGAGAGCCAUGAAGUUCCUGGAGGGGGAGAGCGUGGAGAGAUUCACCUCCAAAUACACUCUGCUUCAGACCGGACACUUGUGAGAGGAACUGAAAGAUGCAGCCUAACACGCCAAACGACCACAUCUGCACGUGGUGUUACGCUAAUAAUUACCUUAAACAUUGUAAUUUUGCAAAAGAAUAGUGAUAGGUGCGUGAACCAGGUUGAAGCCUAUUGGCCUUUAGCUAAAAUAAAUCAAGAUUUUUACCCCAAGCAAUCUCCUGAAAUUUUGUGUCAUUUUCAACACUGCUAUAUAAUUUUUUUAUAUUUAAGUGGUUGUUAGAUGUAAUUUGAGUUCAGUGCCUUCUGUGACCAGAGUUACACAAAAAGUGUAAAUUAAUUAUAUGCUUUUAAAAUUUUACUAUGGGAAAAUUGUGCAGCAUGAAGGAGCCUGUUGAUUCUUCUUUAGGGUUCUAGUCAUGCUCCAGUUAAAGAAGCCAACAAUUCAUUUGGUUCUGUGAAUUCUACACUUUUUUUUUUUCACAAUACCAACUUUUACGGCUGUUCUAUUAAAAAAUUUUUUGAUCUG